Molecule: ribosomal RNA, 355 nt
Filed under: uncultured prokaryote
Description: partial 16S ribosomal RNA
Source: RNAcentral
CCCUACGGGGCGCAGCAGGAUGGAAAACAUUAGCGGCUCCAACUCCUUCAUUUCUUCGGGCCCGCAGCCCACCAGGAUCAGUGCGCCUUCUUUCACCAGGGGCAGGUUCUGCAUGGUGGCCAUCAACCGGCUCUUGAUGUAGUUCGCGGCGAUGUGCUCCGUGGCCAGUAAAAUCUCGCCACGGUACCAGGCCAGGCUGAUCAGUUCCAUCGCGGGGAGGAUGAUUUCCUGGAAAAUAAUGAGGAGUUCAAAAUACUUCUGGCAGUCCUCGAGAAUCAGGGUGGCGCGCUGUUCGUUGUGCGCGAUGAGCGCGCCAAAGAGCAUUUCGGCGUAAUCGCGGGCCGGGCGGGGGGGC